RNAcentral lists this ribosomal RNA (700 nucleotides) under Pseudomonadota bacterium. Its description in RNAcentral is "bacterial SSU rRNA". It matches the Rfam family "Bacterial small subunit ribosomal RNA", at positions 28 to 723 of the family's 1533-position model. Lineage: Bacteria; Pseudomonadati; Pseudomonadota. The record is from RNAcentral.
AUUGAACGCUGGCGGAAUGCUUUACACAUGCAAGUCGAACGGCAGCACGGGGGCAACCCUGGUGGCGAGUGGCGAACGGGUGAGUAAUAUAUCGGAACGUGCCCAGUCGUGGGGGAUAACGUAGCGAAAGUUACGCUAAUACCGCAUACGAUCUACGGAUGAAAGCGGGGGAUCGCAAGACCUCGCGCGAUUGGAGCGGCCGAUAUCAGAUUAGGUAGUUGGUGGGGUAAAGGCUCACCAAGCCAACGAUCUGUAGCUGGUCUGAGAGGACGACCAGCCACACUGGGACUGAGACACGGCCCAGACUCCUACGGGAGGCAGCAGUGGGGAAUUUUGGACAAUGGACGCAAGUCUGAUCCAGCCAUUCCGCGUGCAGGACGAAGGCCUUCGGGUUGUAAACUGCUUUUGUACGGAACGAAAAAGCCUUGGCUAAUACCCGGGGUCCAUGACGGUACCGUAAGAAUAAGCACCGGCUAACUACGUGCCAGCAGCCGCGGUAAUACGUAGGGUGCGAGCGUUAAUCGGAAUUACUGGGCGUAAAGCGUGCGCAGGCGGUUAUAUAAGACAGAUGUGAAAUCCCCGGGCUCAACCUGGGAACUGCAUUUGUGACUGUAUAGCUAGAGUGCGGCAGAGGGGGAUGGAAUUCCGCGUGUAGCAGUGAAAUGCGUAGAUAUGCGGAGGAACACCGAUGGCGAAGGCA